GGUCUUUUUACAAGAUGUGAUCAAAAAUGUGGUAAAUGCUGCUGCCAAGUACCACCCAACAGAGUAGCAGGCUCGUAAGAACGUGGCACUGUGUCCCCAUCCACCCUGUUUAAUAGAUUGGCACUGUGCAACUGCUGGCUCUUCCCCAAAAUCAAAACAAUCAGGAAAAGGUAAACGUUUGCAAUGGAUUCGGGACAUCAGUCCAGCCAUGAGAGUGCCACUAAAGAUACUCCCAAAAGAGGACGCAUAGAGCUGCUUCAGAAAGUAGCAAAAAUGAUGGGAUAGUGUGUGGGAAGUGAGGGGAGGAUUUUGAGUAAGAUUAAUGUGUUCUUUACCGUAACAAGUUUCUUUAAUUUAAAAAAAUCACCAUUUUUUAUCAUACCCCAUGAUGCUUCCUCUAACCCAGUCAGGUGGGUACGAUUCCUACGUAUUCCCGUCUUACAAAGGAAAAAAGACACAGUUUGUUCUAAAUGCUCAUUUCCUCAGCACCUUCUGUGGGUCCAGGCUGAGCAAGGUCCGAGCACAGCAAUAAACAAGACAGACAUGGUUUCUGCCCUCCAAGCUCCCAGGCUAGUGGGAGAGAUAAGAUUCCCAGAGAAUCACAGAAAUCAUCAUUAAGUCACAGAACGCUGUGCUAGCAGAACCCAGGGAACUUGAUCAAGCAGGUCAAAGGAAGGCCUCCAACCCUUGUUUGGAGAUGACGGUAGAAGCGGGGAUUUCUGUGCAAAUGCCCUGGGGUAAGAAGGAGGCAGAGGUGUUUGAGGAAGUGAAAAGCUUGGUGCAAAAAGAAGCAGGUUAAGUCUGGGAAACAAACAAGGGUCCUGUACACAUGGAACCCUGGGCAGGAGAAGAGCCAGAGACGCCCUGAGGUCAGAUUUCUGUAAUGACUGCCACUCGGUUUUUCAGCUGGUGGAUCAGACAAGAAAGUGUGAACUAAGAAGGGAACGAUGUGGAAAUACUUCUGCUUAAUGGAAUCCUGGGAGAAAGUCGCACCAGAUGGCACCAUCUUCUUCCCAACCUUAAAACAAGACUCUACAGCUUCUCCAAGUGUCUGAGCUUCUGCAGAGAGAAGGUUGAGCGCUCCUCCUUUAUUCUCAAGAGAUACAAAGAAGAAAGCUCAAGCCCAGAAGCCUAACUAUGGUUGCUCAGAAGUAUGUGAACCCGUGGGAAGUCUGGCAAGUUUACAGCUACUUUGGGGAGCCUCGAAACUUCCCUAACUUCAGUCCGUGUCCCCAGACCCGGGGUGGCCUUCAGACAUUUCGGAUGAAGCCCCUCUUCUCCUUCCCAGAGCCUCUGCACCCACAGCCACAGAGCGCCAGCCCCCCGCCCAGGGCGAUGCAGCCCAGACUUCCGCCCCUUAGUCUCUGCUUUCUCCAGUCCCCUUGCUCUAGCCGGUCCACUUGUGCUCUAAGCUGGUGUGAACGUCCUAGAGCAGGACCACAGAGCUUCAGGGCUUCUGAGGAUUCACUCAUGCAAUGGACCAGGGCACCAAGAGCACUGAGUAUUACCAAAGUGCUUCAAACUGCAGGACUAGGGCAGCCGAAACCCACAGGGUGGCGACCUCCCUGCCGCCAGCAAUGGACAGGGUCAGUGGGGCGCAGGGCAGAGGCGUCCAGCAGCGAGAUCUCAUCGAUUCAAAUCUAACUUGAGCAGGAAGAAGAAUAAAAAUACAAGCUGGGGCUUUCUUGUGUUUGUGCUUGGUUUGUUUUUUUUUUUUUUAAUUGUCCAGCUGGAAACAUCAACUCCAGCAUCAAUAAACAGCCGGGAAGGUGCCCAAAGCCUGAGCCCCUGGCAGUUUCUUCAAGACACUCCUGCCCUGCUGUUUCCCCAGGGACCAGGCAGACUCAGUGUGGCCUGCACUGUGUCCCGUUCCCAGAGCAGCCACCUCUGCUGAGCCCCUGGGAGCCAGGCGGGGAGCAGAGCAUGCAUCCAAGGGAACAGUCGCCUGAAGAAGCUAUUGGGCCACAGGCAUUUAAACUGCUCUCUGUCGGUUGAAGGGAAGUCACUUUUUAAAAAAGAAGGCACAAGCCAGGGAUGGUAGCCAAAGCCUGUAAUCCCAGCUACUUGGGAGGCUGCAGCUAGAGGACCACAAGUUCAAGGCCAGCCUUGGCCAUUUAGCAAAAUCUCCUUCUCAAAAGAAAAGAAAAGUGGCAGAGAGCGCCCCCUGGGCCCUCUCCUAUCACGGCUCUGAGUAGACUCAAAUCUUUCUUGUCCUGCCUUGCCCCUCCCCACCAGGACGGCCAGGGGACACCCCACAAAGACAGGAGCAGAGGAUGCAGUGACAGCCACAGGUCGGGGUGGCAAGAACGGCUGCCAACCCCAGCCCCUGGGAGCUGCAGAGCAUCACGGAUGCCCCCACCCACUCCCCAUCCAGCCAUCAGAGCAAGCCUGGCCCUGGCCCUGGCCCUAGCUAGGUGGUUUGGUUUGGGACUUCUGGUCUCCAGAACCAUGGGAGAAUGCACGACUGCUUAUUUAAGCACCUGGCUUGUGGUCCUUUGUUACAGAAACUCUAAAAACCGAAACAGGAGAGAAGACAAAAGCCAGGAGAGCUGCCCUCUCCCUUCCUCCAUCCUUUGCAAUGGGCUGCUUGUCAUGUCCAGGAGGAGAAGCACCACUGAGAUCAACUGGACUGGCCUGACUCCCCAUUUUCCCCAGGCUGGCUGUGGGUGGGGAGCAGUGGCUCUCGUGCCCUGCUGCUCACUUCCCUCUGUCCUCCUCUCCUCUUUUUAAACAUAAACACCCGCCUUGGUGCUCCUCUGAACCUGUCCCUGAGUUAUUUCUCAGGUAACACCAGCUCCAAAGGUCCUGCAAAUCUGCCCAGGAGUCUUAUCCUGAGUCCUGGGCAGAGGGGUUGUUUCAAAAGAACAGCAAUAAACACUGAGAGUCGUUAGCACUGGAGAGCUCCAGAGGCCCGCAGCAGAGACCCGCAGUCUGCAGAGCCAGCCCGUGGUGUCCAACAGCAGCAGUGGCCCGCAGCUGGCUGUGGCCCCUCCUGGCAUCUAGCAGUAACUGGUGACACCAGGGCUGCUGACAAAGUGCUAACAGAGCCGCUCUGUGCCGGUGCAUGAUUUCCAUCUGACUCGGGGAAAGAACUCUGGGGGCCUGGCAAUGCUACCUGGAGAGACCGAGGCCGGGGCCUGAUGGUCGCGCCACCCGCCCCAACACACACACAAACACACACAUGCAUACACACGCACACGCACACGCACGCGCACACGCAUGCAGGUGCCCUCGAAAGGGG
This is a long non-coding RNA of Chinchilla lanigera (long-tailed chinchilla), 3241 nucleotides long. RefSeq lists it as uncharacterized. The record is from RefSeq and is a predicted model, not a curated record. The transcript is spliced from 3 exons. Lineage: Eukaryota; Metazoa; Chordata; Mammalia; Rodentia; Chinchillidae.